This is a small nucleolar RNA of Pongo abelii (Sumatran orangutan), 113 nucleotides long. The record is from Ensembl. Lineage: Eukaryota; Metazoa; Chordata; Mammalia; Primates; Hominidae.
AUCCUCUUGUGGUUCCUAAGUGUGAAGAUUGGGUUUUCAUACUCAUGUGUGAAAUGUGCCUUCCUCAAGCCUUGUUAUGAUGUGUCAGGCACAUUACUCUUCCCCAUCUGAUG